UGGCUUAUGGAGUAAAGCCCCCGGCUCAACCGGGGAGGGUCAUUGGGAAACUGGGAGACUCCCCUUUAAGAAGAGGAGAGUGGAAUUCCAUGUGUAGCGGUGACUGUAGAUAUAUGGAGGAACACCAGUGGCGAAGGCGGCUCUCUGGUCUGUAACUGACGCUGAGGCUCGAAAGCGUGGGGAGCAAACAGGAUUAGAUACCCUGGUAGUCCACGCCGUAAACGAUGAGUGCUAAGUGUUGGAGGGUUUCCGCCCUUCAGUGCUGCAGCUAACGCAUUAAGCACUCCGCCUGGGGAGUACGACCGCAAGGUUGAAACUCAAAGGAAUUGACGGGGGCCCGCACAAGCGGUGGAGCAUGUGGUUUAAUUCAAGCAACGCGAAAACCUUACCAGUUUUUUCCUUUGACCAUCUAAAUAAGUUCCCUUCGAAGAGGGGUGUGUUGAUUU
This 446-nucleotide ribosomal RNA is filed under the name Lactobacillales bacterium QOX-03. RNAcentral's name for it is "bacterial SSU rRNA". It matches the Rfam family "Bacterial small subunit ribosomal RNA", at positions 585 to 1047 of the family's 1533-position model. Lineage: Bacteria; Bacillati; Bacillota; Bacilli; Lactobacillales. The record is from RNAcentral.